AAAGAAAGUAGACAAGGGCGCAUGGCGGAUGCCUUGGCUCAUGGAGGCGAUGAAGGACGUGAUAAGCUGCGAUAAGCUUCGGGUAGGUGCAAAUAACCUUUGAUCCGGAGAUUUCCGAAUGGGACAACCCAGCUGCCACAAGGCAGUUAUCACUGUCAAUCAGUGAGGCGAACGGAGGGAACUGAAACAUCUUAGUACCUCCAGGAAGAGAAAAUAAAUGAAUGAUUCCCCCAGUAGUGGCGAGCGAACGGGGAAGAGCCCAAACCG
This 267-nucleotide ribosomal RNA is filed under the name Hoylesella buccalis. RNAcentral's name for it is "Prevotella buccalis partial 23S ribosomal RNA". It matches the Rfam family "Bacterial large subunit ribosomal RNA", at positions 1 to 276 of the family's 2925-position model. Lineage: Bacteria; Pseudomonadati; Bacteroidota; Bacteroidia; Bacteroidales; Prevotellaceae. The record is from RNAcentral.